This 253-nucleotide ribosomal RNA is filed under the name uncultured bacterium. RNAcentral describes it as "partial 16S ribosomal RNA". It matches the Rfam family "Bacterial small subunit ribosomal RNA", at positions 524 to 776 of the family's 1533-position model. The record is from RNAcentral.
UACGUAGGGUGCGAGCGUUAAUCGGAAUUACUGGGCGUAAAGCGUGCGCAGGCGGCUAUUUAAGCUUGCUGUGAAAGCCCCGGGCUUAACCUGGGAACUGCAGUGAGGACUGGAUGGCUGGAGUGUGGCAGAGGGGGGUGGAAUUCCACGUGUAGCAGUGAAAUGUGUAGAGAUGUGGAGGAACACCGAUGGCGAAGGCAGCCCCCUGGGCUAACACUGACGCUCAGGCACGAAAGCGUGGGGAGCAAACAGG